This 253-nucleotide ribosomal RNA is filed under the name uncultured bacterium. Its description in RNAcentral is "partial 16S ribosomal RNA". It matches the Rfam family "Bacterial small subunit ribosomal RNA", at positions 524 to 776 of the family's 1533-position model. The record is from RNAcentral.
UACGUAGGGUGCAAGCGUUAAUCGGAAUUACUGGGCGUAAAGCGUGCGCAGGCGGCUUUGCAAGACAGAUGUGAAAUCCCCGGGCUUAACCUGGGAACUGCAUUUGUGACUGCAUGGCUGGAGUGCGGCAGAGGGGGAUGGAAUUCCGCGUGUAGCAGUGAAAUGCGUAGAUAUGCGGAGGAACACCGAUGGCGAAGGCAAUCCCCUGGGCCUGCACUGACGCUGAGGAGCGAAAGCAUGGGUAGCGAACAGG